RNAcentral lists this non-coding RNA (88 nucleotides) under Sedimenticola thiotaurini. RNAcentral's name for it is "Glycine sequence". It matches the Rfam family "Glycine riboswitch aptamer". From Rfam's summary of the family: This family represents the bacterial glycine riboswitch. Glycine riboswitches usually consist of two metabolite-binding aptamers domains with similar structures in tandem. Lineage: Bacteria; Pseudomonadati; Pseudomonadota; Gammaproteobacteria; Chromatiales; Sedimenticolaceae. The record is from Rfam by way of RNAcentral.
CAAAACACCGCGGGAGAGAUCGGCUCAGGCCGACGCCGAAGGCGCAAACCGUCCGGAAUCGCUCAGGCAGAAGGACCUCGGUGUGGGG